UGAGGAAACCUCAGGAAAAUGGAGCU
Molecule: non-coding RNA, 26 nt
Filed under: Homo sapiens (human)
Lineage: Eukaryota; Metazoa; Chordata; Mammalia; Primates; Hominidae
Source: RNAcentral